CACGUUCGUGUGGAACCUUGUGCCGAACCAUUCGUAGAUGACCUGCUUCUGGGUCGGGGUUUCGUUCGUAGGAGAGCAGUUCCCUCACUACGAUCUAUUGAAAGUCAGCUGUCGACACAAGGGUUUG
RNAcentral lists this ribosomal RNA (127 nucleotides) under Ailuropoda melanoleuca (giant panda). Its description in RNAcentral is "similar to 28S ribosomal RNA". The record is from RNAcentral. Lineage: Eukaryota; Metazoa; Chordata; Mammalia; Carnivora; Ursidae.